This 459-nucleotide ribosomal RNA is filed under the name uncultured bacterium. RNAcentral's name for it is "partial 16S ribosomal RNA". It matches the Rfam family "Bacterial small subunit ribosomal RNA", at positions 338 to 795 of the family's 1533-position model. The record is from RNAcentral.
CCUACGGGAGACAGCAGUGAGGAAUAUUGGUCAAUGGUCGGGAGACUGAACCAGCCAAGCCGCGUGAGGGAUGAAGGUACAGAGUAUCGUAAACCUCUUUUGUCAGGGAACAAAGGCGGGGACGUGUCCCCGGAUGCGUGUACCUGAAGAAAAAGCAUCGGCUAACUCCGUGCCAGCAGCCGCGGUAAUACGGAGGCUGCGAGCGUUAUCCGGAUUUAUUGGGUUUAAAGGGGGCGCAGGGGGUCUGUUAAGACCGCGGUCAAAGCCCGGGGCUCAACCCCGGCCCGCCGUUGAAACUGGCAGUCUCGAGUUGGAGAGAAGUAUGCGGAAUGCGCGGUGUAGCGGUGAAAUGCAUAGAUAUCGCGCAGAACUCCGAUUGCGAAGGCAGCAUGCCGGCUCCACACUGACGCUGAGGCACGAAAGCGUGGGUAUCGAACAGGAUUAGAUACCCCGGUAGUC